UUAAUGAGAGUUUGAUCCUGGCUCAGGACGAACGCUGGCGGCGUGCCUAAUACAUGCAAGUAGAACGCUGAAGAGAGGAGCUUGCUCUUCUUGGAUGAGUUGCGAACGGGUGAGUAACGCGUAGGUAACCUGCCUUGUAGCGGGGGAUAACUAUUGGAAACGAUAGCUAAUACCGCAUAACAAUGGAUGACACAUGUCAUUUAUUUGAAAGGGGCAAUUGCUCCACUACAAGAUGGACCUGCGUUGUAUUAGCUAGUAGGUGAGGUAAUGGCUCACCUAGGCGACGAUACAUAGCCGACCUGAGAGGGUGAUCGGCCACUCUGGGACUGAGACACGGCCCAGACUCCUACGGGAGGCAGCAGUAGGGAAUCUUCGGCAAUGGGGGCAACCCUGACCGAGCAACGCCGCGUGAGUGAAGAAGGUUUUCGGAUCGUAAAGCUCUGUUGUAAGUCAAGAACGGGUGUGAGAGUGGAAAGUUCACACUGUGACGGUAGCUUACCAGAAAGGGACGGCUAACUACGUGCCAGCAGCCGCGGUAAUACGUAGGUCCCGAGCGUUGUCCGGAUUUAUUGGGCGUAAAGCGAGCGCAGGCGGUUUGAUAAGUCUGAAGUUAAAGGCUGUGGCUCAACCAUAGUUCGCUUUGGAAACUGUCAAACUUGAGUGCAGAAGGGGAGAGUGGAAUUCCAUGUGUAGCGGUGAAAUGCGUAGAUAUAUGGAGGAACACCGGUGGCGAAAGCGGCUCUCUGGUCUGUAACUGACGCUGAGGCUCGAAAGCGUGGGGAGCGAACAGGAUUAGAUACCCUGGUAGUCCACGCCGUAAACGAUGAGUGCUAGGUGUUGGAUCCUUUCCGGGAUUCAGUGCCGAAGCUAACGCAUUAAGCACUCCGCCUGCCAGGAGUACGACCGCAAGGUUGAAACUCAAAGGAAUUGACGGGGGCCCGCACAAGCGGUGGAGCAUGUGGUUUAAUUCAGAAGCAACGCGAAGAACCUUACUAUAAGGUCUUGACAUCCCGAUGCUAUUUCUAGAGAUAGAAAGUUACUUCGGUACAUCGGUGACAGGUGGUGCAUGGUUGUCGUCAGCUCGUGUCGUGAGAUGUUGGGUUAAGUCCCGCAACGAGCGCAACCCCUAUUGUUAGUUGCCAUCAUUCAGUUGGGCACUCUAGCGAGACUGCCGGUAAUAAACCGGAGGAAGGUGGGGAUGACGUCAAAUCAUCAUGCCCCUUAUGAUUAUGCUACACAGGGCUACACACGUGCUACAAUGGUUGGUACAACGAGUUGCGAGUCGGUGACGGCGAGCUAAUCUCUUAAAGCCAAUCUCAGUUCGGAUUGUAGGCUGCAACUCGCCUACAUGAAGUCGGAAUCGCUAGUAAUCGCGGAUCAGCACGCCGCGGUGAAUACGUUCCCGGGCCUUGUACACACCGCCCGUCACACCACGAGAGUUUGUAACACCCGAAGUCGGUGAGGUAACCUUUGGAGCCAGCCGCCUAAGGUGGGACAGAUGAUUGGGGUGAAGUCGUAACAAGGUAGCCGUAUCGGAAGGUGCGGCUGGAUCACUCCUUUCUAAGGAA
RNAcentral lists this ribosomal RNA (1568 nucleotides) under Streptococcus thermophilus. Its description in RNAcentral is "bacterial SSU rRNA". It matches the Rfam family "Bacterial small subunit ribosomal RNA". Lineage: Bacteria; Bacillati; Bacillota; Bacilli; Lactobacillales; Streptococcaceae. The record is from RNAcentral.